UGUAAGCGUAUACCAAAGUUGUUGCAGUUAAAACGCUCGUAGUCGGAAUUUGGCAGUUCCGGAUGUGUGCACGUCGUGUGCGCACUUCGCGGGGAUUGCUUUUGUGGUCUUGCGUAGGAUGAGGCACUUUUAUUAGUGAACGUCCUCACGCAACCACUUUUUACUGUGAGAAAAUCAGAGUGCUCAAAGCAGGCAUUUGCCGUGAAUGUAUUAGCAUGGAAUAAUAGAAUAGGACUUGGUUCUAUUUUGUUGGUUUGUUGGGACUGAGUAAUGAUUAAGAGGGACAGUUGGGGGCAUUUGUAUUUCGGUGCUAGAGGUGAAAUUCUUAGAUUACCGAAAGACAAACUGCUGCGAAAGCGUCUGCCAAGGAUGUUCUCAUUGA
Molecule: ribosomal RNA, 382 nt
Filed under: uncultured eukaryote
Lineage: Eukaryota
Description: partial 18S ribosomal RNA
Rfam family: Eukaryotic small subunit ribosomal RNA
Source: RNAcentral